This 497-nucleotide ribosomal RNA is filed under the name uncultured bacterium. Its description in RNAcentral is "partial 16S ribosomal RNA". It matches the Rfam family "Bacterial small subunit ribosomal RNA", at positions 899 to 1397 of the family's 1533-position model. The record is from RNAcentral.
ACUCAAAUGAAUUGACGGGGGCCCGCACAAGCGGUGGAACAUGUGGUUCAAUUCGACGCAACGCGAAGAACCUUACCUGGGCUUGAACCGCUACUGACCAACGGUGGAAACAUCGUCUUCUCGCAAGAGACAGUAGUAGAGGUGCUGCAUGGCUGUCGUCAGCUCGUGCCGUGAGGUGUUGGGUUAAGUCCCGCAACGAGCGCAACCCUUACUCUUAGUUGCCACCCGCAAGGGGGAACUCUAAGAGGACUGCUCCGGAUAACGGAGAGGAAGGUGGGGAUGACGUCAAGUCAGCACGGCCUUUAUGUCCAGGGCUACACACGUGUUACAAUGCACGGUACAGACUGUUGCGAACCCGCGAGGGGGAGCCAAUCGGAAAAACCGUGCUCAGUUCGGAUUGCAGUCUGCAACUCGACUGCAUGAAGCUGGAAUCGCUAGUAAUGGCGUAUCAGAACGACGCCGUGAAUACGUUCCCGGGCCUUGUACACACCGCCCGU